Salvia splendens (bonfire salvia) is the source of this 207-nucleotide long non-coding RNA. RefSeq lists it as uncharacterized. Lineage: Eukaryota; Viridiplantae; Streptophyta; Magnoliopsida; Lamiales; Lamiaceae. The transcript has 3 exons. The record is from RefSeq and is a predicted model, not a curated record.
AUGACGGAAAAAUGUAUCAGAGAACGAACGUGAAGAAGAAGAUUUUGCGGAUCCCUAAAGCACCGAAAUAGGACGUUCUUUUGUAAGUAUUUAACAAUGAUUGGUUGUCACAAUCAAUGCAAAUCAGUGAUCAACGCACCUAUUCAGAGGUUGAAAAUGAGUUGGACAACGACAGACAAUGUUGAUGACAACAGGGUUUAUUUGCUU